This is a long non-coding RNA of Erinaceus europaeus (western European hedgehog), 2987 nucleotides long. RefSeq lists it as uncharacterized. The record is from RefSeq and is a predicted model, not a curated record. NCBI's taxonomy places the organism in Eukaryota, Metazoa, Chordata, Mammalia, Eulipotyphla, Erinaceidae. The transcript is spliced from 2 exons.
GGACACAUUGGUGGGAUCUUCAAUCCAGGGAAGCCUAGCUAGCAUCCUGAUGGCAUCUGGAACCUGGUGGCUGAAAAGAGAGUUAACAUACAAAGCCAAACAAAUUGUUAAGCAAUCAUGGACCCAAAGGUUGGAAUAGUGGAGAGGAAGUGUCGGGGGGGGUACUCACUGCAAACUCUAGUGUACUUCUGCAUUCAGGUAUAUAUUUUGCACUAGUUUAUGGAUACGUGUGAACAUACGCUCUCUCUCACAGAACCUGGUCUAUAUCUAGGUUUUGGGACUUUGUUAGAAAAAAUGCUAGUAUUCUAUAAACAUCCUGCAUCAACAACUCAUAGGGGUCCAGAAUACCAAAAGGCUCUGUAAGAAUGUAACCUUGUGGACUAUCUCUCAUGUCUUGGAUACCUGAGGUGCAGUAAACAGGGGGUAACAAAGAAUGGAACUGAAGCAAGUAGAGUUAUACUUAGUACUAAGCACUUGAAGCUGUAGUCCAGAUUGGCAAACUGAUGCUCCAUCCAUCCCAACGCCUUCCCAAUCCCAGUACUCAUUUAGUAUUCUUUAUACUUAUUAUAAAGAAUUACACAUGUAAUUUUGAUUAAUUCUUACAGCCUUAAAAGGUAAGUACCAUUCUAAAUUUUCAGAUGGGGGACUGGGGUUCAGAGAAACAGUAUAUUUUUUUCCCUAAAAUCAUACAGAAACUUAAAUAUGAGAGCUGCAAUUUGUACUUAGAUCUAUCUGAUUUCUGUAUUCCUGUAUUUAACCACAAAGCCACAUACUCCACCAACAAGAAGUUCAAAGAAGGGCCUUCAGCCUAGGAACACAUGAGACUAUGCACCUUGUUCAUCUGUCAUCUGGCUGUCCUGUGGUGAAAUAGGGCCUUCUAAACCUCUGGAGAAGUGAGAUCUGAAAUUGGAGAGGACAAAGGGAAGAAUCACUCCUCAACAGGUAAUCUUUAAAUCCAGACCCAGGAAUAUCAGAUGAUCUGAAGUGAUACCAUCUUUUCUGUCCUCUUGACAAAUCUCAUCAACCCCAAAGUUCCAGUUACAAGGAUCCAAGAAAACACUUUGGAAUCAUUUUGUGUGACAAAAAUUGAUUCAUGUGACUCUCCUGAUAUUUGAGGAAAAUCUACUAAAGAAAAGGAAUUAGAAUUUUCAUACAUCAGUGAUUAAGGCUACACUAAAAUGAAACUUUAUUUUAAUUCAAAAGUCCUUUCUAAAAUUAAAGGGCUUACUAGACUACUAUAAUUAUAUUAUAAAGAAAACAAAUCACAUCAGUAUAAACAUAGAAUUUUAAGUUUAAAAUAACCUGAAUUACAGUUUACAUGUUAUGAAAUGUGUUGAGGCAAUUUAAAAAAUCAUACCAAAAAAAUCUGCAGUUUAGAGUAUAAAUAUAAGAUGCAGGGACAGGAAAAAAUUUAAAUAAAAGCUAAUCUAUUUAUUACUAUAAGUACCUUCUGCUAUUCUUUUUCUAUAUGUAAUAUAUAUAUAAUAUAUAUAUCCAGUUGCAGACUUAAUUAUUAAAAUCAAUGAAGCUCCCUUUUAAAUCUGUUAACUUGAAAGCAAAACAAGUGAUAUUCAAUAGUGAUAGGUUUUCACAAAUCACAGAUAACUAAAUAUAUCUUAUGACACAUUUCUUCUGAACAUAGCAAUAUAAGUUAGUAAAAUAGUAAGUUUUAAGCAUUUAUUCUCAGUAUUAAUAUAUAAUACCAUGUGUCUUAGCUUUCAACAUUUCAAGAUAAAAUCCAAUAAAGUAUUGAAUAAAAUAAUAAUAACAUGUUUUAAGAAACAUUUUCCUGAGGAAAUGUUUAGUUGGGGAGAUUUUAACCUGACCACAAAUACUAUUUUAUAUAUAUAUAUAUAUAUAUAUAUAUAUAUAUAUAUAUAUAUAUAUAUAUACACACACACACACACACACAUCCUAACCAUGUGAGUCUUUACAGCCAUGUUAUUUCCUUAUUAUGAAUGUUUUUAGUUUUAUUUUUUAGCUGUGUAUCCAAUUUCUAAUUUCUGUUCCUUGUGCAUUGUCAAUAUCAAGCUGUUACAUAUCUUCAGAAAUGUUUAUUUUCUUUAUGUGUAUGUUUCUUCAAAUACUUUAAUAAGGCAUAGCACUUCUUAAAAGAUCUAAUUUAGUAAACAUAAUAUCAAUAGUAUAGAGGAGUAGGGCGGUAGCACUGUUAAGCGCACGUGGCGCAAAGCCCAAGGACCGGCGUAAGGAUCCCGGUUUGAGCCCUCGGCUCCCCACCUGCAGGGGAGUCGCUUCACAGGCGGUGAAGCAGGUCUACAGGUGUCAGAAAAAAAAAAGAAUUUAAUAUCAAUAGUAUAAUCCUAAAUUAAGUCACUUAAAGUCUCUAGUUAAUGAAGUAAGAUGGUCCUUCUAGUAAUCAGACUAACAACAAAUUGGGAUAAUUAUAAAAUACAGUGUAAACACCAACGGAGAAGGUAGAAAAAUCCAUUACAGACUUCAAAUUCAUAUGAACUGAACUGCUUUGAGAGAAAAAAGGUCCAGAAAGAUAUCUCACCUGGGAGGGUGCUGUUUUGUCAUGUUGUACGACCCAGGUUCAAACCCAAUCCUCACUGUACUGCGGGAAACAUGGUACCGUUGUGUUUUUCCUUCUCUCUGUCUCUCAGUCUCUAUCUGAAAAAGUUGGCUUAGAGUAGUGAAGCCCAGCGUUAGGAAGAGAGAGAGAUUAUCAUAAUUAAAAGUGCUGUGUCAAAAAAUGUGCUAUAUUAAUAUUUAGAGACUCAAAAAGUAAAUUUUGACUGGUGGAACUAGAUUUACAAAUAAAAUAUGGCAUAAAAAUAUGACUGUACUAAAAUCUACAAAUGUAAUUAAUUGCAAUAGUUACAAGUGAUAUGAAUGCAUUCUAUUAUGUAAAUUAUUUUCUGUAAAUUUGUAUUAAAAAGGAGUUAGUUUCUGGGUUAUAUAGAGAAUUUUUGUUACAUUCUUCUAUCCAUUGGAUUGACAUAAUAAAAUUUCCUCUAUGAUCAGAA